Molecule: ribosomal RNA, 509 nt
Filed under: uncultured bacterium
Lineage: Bacteria
Description: partial 16S ribosomal RNA
Rfam family: Bacterial small subunit ribosomal RNA
Source: RNAcentral
GACGAACGCUGGCGGCGUGCUUAACACAUGCAAGUCGAACGAAGAGCGAUGGAAGCUUGCUUCUAUCAAUCUUAGUGGCGAACGGGUGAGUAACGCGUAAUCAACCUGCCCUUCAGAGGGGGACAACAGUUGGAAACGACUGCUAAUACCGCAUACGAUCUAAUCUCGGCAUCGAGGAUAGAUGAAAGGUGGCCUCUACAUGUAAGCUAUCACUGAAGGAGGGGAUUGCGUCUGAUUAGCUAGUUGGAGGGGUAACGGCCCACCAAGGCGAUGAUCAGUAGCCGGUCUGAGAGGAUGAACGGCCACAUUGGGACUGAGACACGGCCCAGACUCCUACGGGAGGCAGCAGUGGGGAAUCUUCCGCAAUGGACGAAAGUCUGACGGAGCAACGCCGCGUGAGUGAUGACGGCCUUCGGGUUGUAAAGCUCUGUUAAUCGGGACGAAAGGCCUUCUUGCGAAUAGUGAGAAGGAUUGACGGUACCGGAAUAGAAAGCCACGGCUAACUACGU